AGGUGCCCUGCGGUGAGAGAAGACAUUGGAUGAAUGCAGCAAAUAUGAUAUGAACUUUGUUUAUGUAUAUUCAUUUCAUCCUUUCUUUUUUUUUUAUAUAUAUAUAUCCUCUUUGUGUUUGGAGAGCGCUGAAGCCAAUUCCUGCUGACUGAGCUAAAGGCAGACGACAACUUGGACUGGUCGCCCACCAAGGGAAAAGCAUAUGAAUGGCGUUUUCAUUUGUCUGGUAUUUUUGUAAAUAGGUGGAAAAUGGCAUUUGCAGUGUUGUGGGAAUGAACACAGCUGACUUGUUUCUACGCUUGCGGCUCUUCUCAUUUAAAUUCCGCGCAGGGCAGGCUUGCAAACUAAAUGGCGUGACCAUAAACUGCCUGGACCGAGUCCAUAGUGGAAAAGUACAAAAUGUUAAAUGAACAAAAAGGGAGCCUGACUUGAUACUUACAAAACAUAAACAUGGAGUGAAGUAGCACCAGCAGAGUUUCAUGAGCGGAGAAGGACGAUAGCCAAUCAUAUCUGUGAUGUUCCCAUAGAAACGCUCAGCCCCUGUGAGGUAAAGCGGGAGGCAUUUAGACUUUGUUUUUAGACUUCUUUUCAUAAUGCAUACCAUAGAGCCAAGCAAUGCUGACAGACUGGCAGAUGGAGAGCAGGAGCAGGGUGGUCCCACUGCAGACGUAGAAAUCCACCAGCUGGAGCAGAGAAAGUCCCAGCAGAAAGGACACGGUGCAGAUGGCCAGAAGAACCAGCUCACGUCUGUAGCCUUGACGUAGGUAAAGCUUACCUGACUAUCCAAGCCGAGUAGAAUGAGCAUGAGGAAGAAACACACGGCCCACACCUGCGGCACGGGCAUCAUGGCCACAGCACGGGGAUAAACAAUAAAGG
Long non-coding RNA from Syngnathus typhle (broad-nosed pipefish), 876 nucleotides. RefSeq lists it as uncharacterized. The record is from RefSeq and is a predicted model, not a curated record. The transcript is spliced from 3 exons. Lineage: Eukaryota; Metazoa; Chordata; Actinopteri; Syngnathiformes; Syngnathidae.